Molecule: ribosomal RNA, 377 nt
Filed under: Listeria monocytogenes
Lineage: Bacteria; Bacillati; Bacillota; Bacilli; Caryophanales; Listeriaceae
Description: partial 23S ribosomal RNA
Rfam family: Bacterial large subunit ribosomal RNA
Source: RNAcentral
GGAGAAAUUCCAAUCGAACUUGGAGAUAGCUGGUUCUCUCCGAAAUAGCUUUAGGGCUAGCCUCGAGGUAAAGAGUCAUGGAGGUAGAGCACUGUUUGGACUAGGGGCCCUUCUCGGGUUACCGAAUUCAGAUAAACUCCGAAUGCCAUGUACUUAUACUCGGGAGUCAGACUGCGAGUGAUAAGAUCCGUAGUCGAAAGGGAAACAGCCCAGACCACCAGUUAAGGUCCCCAAAUAUAUGUUAAGUGGAAAAGGAUGUGGGGUUGCUUAGACAACCAGGAUGUUGGCUUAGAAGCAGCCACCAUUGAAAGAGUGCGUAAUAGCUCACUGGUCGAGUGACCCCGCGCCGAAAAUGUACCGGGGCUAAACAUAUUACC